Molecule: unclassified non-coding RNA, 340 nt
Filed under: soil metagenome
Description: partial contains 5.8S ribosomal RNA, internal transcribed spacer 2, and large subunit ribosomal RNA
Rfam family: 5.8S ribosomal RNA (bases 1-120)
Source: RNAcentral
GAUGAAGAACGUAGCGAAAUGCGAUAAGUAGUGUGAAUUGCAGAAUUUAGUGAAUCAUCGAAUCUUUGAACGCACAUUGCGCCCUUUGGUAUUCCUUAGGGCAUGCCUGUUCGAGCGUCAUCUACACCCUCAAGCACAGCUUGGUGAUGGGCGCCUGUCCCGCCCCCCACGGGGGCGCGGACUCGCCUCAAAUGCAUUGGCCGCCGGCGACCUGGCUUCGAGCGCAGCAGAAACGCGUACUCGGGGACCGGGCGCCCGCUCCCAGAAGCCAACCCACCCAGUUUGACCUCGGAUCAGGUAGGGAUACCCGCUGAACUUAAGCAUAUCAAUAAGCGGAGGA